This 1333-nucleotide ribosomal RNA is filed under the name uncultured fungus. Its description in RNAcentral is "eukaryotic LSU rRNA". The stretch from base 650 to 1333 matches the Rfam family "Eukaryotic large subunit ribosomal RNA", at positions 1 to 667 of the family's 3401-position model. The record is from RNAcentral. Lineage: Eukaryota; Fungi.
AAGUCGUAACAAGGUUUCCGUAGGUGAACCUGCGGAAGGAUCAUUACUGAAUUACUGGGGAGCUGUCGCUGACUCUUCGGAGUAUGUGCACGCUCUUCAAAUUCUUCUCAACCACCUGUGCACUUUUGUAGACUAUGAUAACUCUCAAUGUAAACCGGUCAAACGGUUUGUAUUGGAUUGAAUGGACUUGCGUUUCAGCUGGUCUUUCAAUUUUGUAGUCUAUGUUUUAUAUCCAUAUACAAAGUCUUAGAAUGUCCUUUGUGGGUCUUUUGACCUAUAAAACUUAUACAACUUUCAACAACGGAUCUCUUGGCUCUCGCAUCGAUGAAGAACGCAGCGAAAUGCGAUAAGUAAUGUGAAUUGCAGAAUUCAGUGAAUCAUCGAAUCUUUGAACGCACCUUGCACUCCUUGGUAUUCCGAGGAGUAUGCCUGUUUGAGUGUCAUUAAAUUCUCAAACCUUUAUUGGCUUUAUUGACAAUAGAGGCUUUGGAUGUGGGGGUUGCUGGCUUAGGAAAGUCAGCUCUCCUUAAAUGCAUUAGUGGUUACUGUUCUCCACUUCUUUGGUGUGAUAAUUAUCUACGCCUCAGGUGGUGAUGUUAAGUGUAGCUGCUUUCUAACCGUCCAAUUCAUUUGGACAACUUGAACCANUUGACCUCNAAUCAGGUAGGACUACCCGCUGAACUUAAGCAUAUCAUAAGCGGAGGAAAAGAGACUAACAAGGAUUCCCCUAGUACUGCGAGUGAGCGGGAAAAGCUCAAAUUUAAAAUCUGGUGGUUCUUGCAGCCAUCCGAGUUGUAAUUUAGAGAAGUGUUAUCCGCGCUGGACCGUGUACAAGUCUCCUGGAAUGGAGCGUCAUAGAGGGUGAGAAUCCCGUCUUUGACACGGACUACCAGGGCUAUGUGAUGCGCUCUCGAAGAGUCGAGUUGUUUGGGAAUGCAGCUCAAAAUGGGUGGUAAAUUCCAUCUAAAGCUAAAUAUUGGCGAGAGACCGAUAGCGAACAAGUACCGUGAGGGAAAGAUGAAAAGAACUUUGGAAAGAGAGUUAAACAGUACGUGAAAUUGUUGAAAGGGAAACGCUUGAAGUCAGUCGCGUUGGCUGGGGAUCAACCUUGCUCUUUUGCAUGGUGUACUUCCUAGUCGAUGGGUCAACAUCAGUUUUGAUUGUUGGAUAAAGAUUAGAGGAAUGUGGCAUCUUCGGAUGUGUUAUAGCCUUCGGUUGUAUACAACAGUUGGGACUGAGGAACUCAGCACGCCGCAAGGCCGGGUUUUUAACCACGUACGUGCUUAGGAUGUUGGCAUAAUGGCUUUAAUCGACCCGUCUUGAAACACGGACC